This 253-nucleotide ribosomal RNA is filed under the name uncultured bacterium. RNAcentral describes it as "partial 16S ribosomal RNA". It matches the Rfam family "Bacterial small subunit ribosomal RNA", at positions 524 to 776 of the family's 1533-position model. The record is from RNAcentral.
UACGUAGGGUGCAAGCGUUGUCCGGAAUUAUUGGGCGUAAAGAGCUCGUAGGCGGUUUGUUGCGUCGACUGUGAAAACCCGCGGCUUAACCGCGGGCUUGCAGUUGAUACGGGCAGGCUAGAGUUCGGUAGGGGAGACUGGAAUUCCUGGUGUAGCGGUGAAAUGCGCAGAUAUCAGGAGGAACACCGGUGGCGAAGGCGGGUCUCUGGGCCGAUACUGACGCUGAGGAGCGAAAGCGUGGGGAGCGAACAGG